GGGUCAGUAGGUUGGUCGUGCCACCGGUACGUACUGGUCUCACUGAUUCCUCCUUCCUGAAGAACCGUAAUGCCAUUAAUUUGGUGUUGCGGGGAGACAGGACUGUUACUUUGAAAAAAUUAGAGUGUUUAAAGCAAGCUAACGCUUGAAUACGUUAGCAUGGAAUAAUGAAAUAGGACGAUCGAUCCUAUUUUGUUGGUUUCUAGGAUUGACGUA
Molecule: ribosomal RNA, 216 nt
Filed under: Glomeromycotina sp.
Lineage: Eukaryota; Fungi; Glomeromycota
Description: partial small subunit ribosomal RNA
Rfam family: Eukaryotic small subunit ribosomal RNA (bases 40-216)
Source: RNAcentral